This is a long non-coding RNA of Drosophila eugracilis, 475 nucleotides long. RefSeq lists it as uncharacterized. NCBI's taxonomy places the organism in Eukaryota, Metazoa, Arthropoda, Insecta, Diptera, Drosophilidae. The record is from RefSeq and is a predicted model, not a curated record. The transcript has 2 exons.
UCGCGGCACUCGACUAUAGCGUUUCUUCUUGUUUUGUAUUCGCUCCUAUUGAAAUGUUUUGUUCUUAUUAUUAUUAAAAAAAAAACAGAUUCUCUAUCAUAGCUGCAUAUUUUUAAAGUUUUACAUUUAAUAUGAAAUGUUGGUUUUUGAACGCAAAAUAAAAAAUGUAGUAAUAUUCCUUUGUGUAGACAGUUUCAUGACAUACUUUAUGUAUUACUUGAGUAAUGGUCGGUGCGUAAACGAAUAAAUUAGAAGAUUUUUCGACUCGUGACCAGACCACAUAGAGAUGCCCGUGAGAAGCAUGGAUUCUCCAAAUUUAGUUUGACUUUUUCACUGGAGCAACACAUCCUGGGGUUUCGUUCUUUAAUUUGAGUGUGCUGCAAUACGUGCAAAUUUUAUACACUUUAUCCAAUGGCGACACUUGUAUGAAGACUGUAGUCAAUGUUACUGUCAUAAUAAAAUGCAGAUCGAACCA